GAAAUGCGAUAAGUAAUGUGAAUUGCAGAAUUCAGUGAAUCAUCGAAUCUUUGAACGCACCUUGCGCUCCUUGGUAUUCCUUGGAGCAUGCCUGUUUGAGUAUCAUGAAAUCUUCAAAGUAAAUCUUUUGUUAACUCAAUUGGUUUCUACUUUGGUAUUGGAGGUUUUUGCAGCUUCACACCUGCUCCUCUUUGUUCAUUAGCUGGAUCUCAGUGUUAUGCUUGGUUCCACUCGGCGUGAUAAGUUAUCUAUCGCUGAGGACACUGUAAAAGGUGGCCAAGGUAAAUGCAGAUGAACCGCUUCUAAUAGUCCAUUGACUUGGACAAUACUUUUAUGAUCUGAUCUCAAAUCAGGUAGGACUACCCGCUGAACUUAAGCA
This 379-nucleotide unclassified non-coding RNA is filed under the name plant metagenome. Its description in RNAcentral is "partial contains 5.8S ribosomal RNA, internal transcribed spacer 2, and large subunit ribosomal RNA". The stretch from base 1 to 105 matches the Rfam family "5.8S ribosomal RNA", at positions 50 to 154 of the family's 154-position model. The record is from RNAcentral.